Molecule: ribosomal RNA, 460 nt
Filed under: uncultured bacterium
Lineage: Bacteria
Description: partial 16S ribosomal RNA
Rfam family: Bacterial small subunit ribosomal RNA
Source: RNAcentral
CCUACGGGAGGCAGCAGUGAGGAAUAUUGGUCAAUGGACGAGAGUCUGAACCAGCCAAGUAGCGUGAAGGAUGACUGCCCUAUGGGUUGUAAACUUCUUUUAUAUGGGAAUAAAACGUUCCACGUGUGGGAUUUUGUAUGUACCAUAUGAAUAAGGAUCGGCUAACUCCGUGCCAGCAGCCGCGGUAAUACGGAGGAUCCGAGCGUUAUCCGGAUUUAUUGGGUUUAAAGGGAGCGUAGGUGGAUUGUUAAGUCAGUUGUGAAAGUUUGCGGCUCAACCGUAAAAUUGCAGUUGAAACUGGCAGUCUUGAGUACAGUAGAGGUGGGCGGAAUUCGUGGUGUAGCGGUGAAAUGCUUAGAUAUCACGAAGAACUCCGAUUGCGAAGGCAGUUCACUGAACUGCAACUGACACUGAGGCUCGAAAGUGUGGGUAUCAAACAGGAUUAGAUACCCCUGUAGUC